RNAcentral lists this ribosomal RNA (438 nucleotides) under uncultured bacterium. Its description in RNAcentral is "partial 16S ribosomal RNA". It matches the Rfam family "Bacterial small subunit ribosomal RNA", at positions 339 to 795 of the family's 1533-position model. The record is from RNAcentral.
CUACGGGAGGCAGCAGUGAGGAAUAUUGCACAAUGGGGGGAACCCUGAUGCAGCAACGCCGCGUGGAGGAUGACGUAUUUCGGUGUGUAAACUCCUUUUAUAUGUCAAGAAAAUGACGGUAGCAUAUGAAUAAGCACCGGCUAACUCCGUGCCAGCAGCCGCGGUAAUACGGAGGGGCAAGCGUUACUCGGAAUCACUGGGCGUAAAGGACGCGUAGGCGGGUUGGAAAGUCAGGUGUGAAAUCCUACAGCUUAACUGUAGAACUGCACUUGAAACUUCUAAUCUAGAGUAUGGGAGGGGGAGAUGGAAUUAGUGGUGUAGGGGUAAAAUCCGUAGAUAUCACUAGGAAUACCUAAAGCGAAGGCGAUCUCCUGGAACAUUACUGACGCUAAGGCGUGAAAGCGUGGGGAGCAAACAGGAUUAGAUACCCCUGUAGUC